GGGGAUAUGGCGGAAUUGGUAGACGCUGCGGACUUAAAAUCCGUUGACUUUUAAAAUCGUGAGGGUUCAAGUCCCUCUAUCCCCA
Molecule: transfer RNA, 85 nt
Filed under: Eutrema salsugineum
Lineage: Eukaryota; Viridiplantae; Streptophyta; Magnoliopsida; Brassicales; Brassicaceae
Also listed under: 18 other names
Description: tRNA-Leu
Rfam family: tRNA
About the family: Transfer RNA (tRNA) molecules are approximately 80 nucleotides in length. Their secondary structure includes four short double-helical elements and three loops (D, anti-codon, and T loops).
Source: RNAcentral